GAUGAAGAACGCAGCGAAAUGCGAUAAGUAGUGUGAAUUGCAGAAUUCAGUGAAUCAUCGAAUCUUUGAACGCACAUUGCGCCCUUUGGUAUUCCUUAGGGCAUGCCUGUUCGAGCGUCAUUUAAACCUUCAAGCUAAGCUUGGUGUUGGGUGACUGUCCGCUUCACGGCGGACUCGCCUCAAAAUUAUUGGCGGCCGGUACAUUGGCUUCGAGCGCAGCAGAAACGCGAACUCGGGCCCGUCGUAUUGGCUCCCAGAAGCUAUCUUCACAAUUUUGACCUCGGAUCAGGUAGGGAUACCCGCUGAACUUAAGCAUAUCAAUAAGCGGAGA
RNAcentral lists this unclassified non-coding RNA (331 nucleotides) under soil metagenome. Its description in RNAcentral is "partial contains 5.8S ribosomal RNA, internal transcribed spacer 2, and large subunit ribosomal RNA". The stretch from base 1 to 120 matches the Rfam family "5.8S ribosomal RNA", at positions 35 to 154 of the family's 154-position model. The record is from RNAcentral.